UACAGAGGGGGCAAGCGUUGUUCGGAAUUACUGGGCGUAAAGAGCGCGUAGGCGGUCCGAUAAGUCGGCUGUGAAAGUCAGGGGCUCAACCCUUGAAAGCCGGCCGAUACUGUCGGACUAGAGUCCGGAAGAGGCAAGUGGAAUUCCCGGUGUAGCGGUGAAAUGCGCAGAUAUCGGGAGGAACACCAAUGGCGAAGGCAGCUCGCUGGGACGGUAUUGACGCUGAGACGCGAAAGCGUGGGGAGCGAACAGG
This 253-nucleotide ribosomal RNA is filed under the name uncultured bacterium. RNAcentral describes it as "partial 16S ribosomal RNA". It matches the Rfam family "Bacterial small subunit ribosomal RNA", at positions 524 to 776 of the family's 1533-position model. The record is from RNAcentral.